RNAcentral lists this ribosomal RNA (253 nucleotides) under uncultured bacterium. RNAcentral describes it as "partial 16S ribosomal RNA". It matches the Rfam family "Bacterial small subunit ribosomal RNA", at positions 524 to 776 of the family's 1533-position model. The record is from RNAcentral.
UACAGAGGUCUCAAGCGUUGUUCGGAUUCAUUGGGCGUAAAGGGUGCGUAGGCGGUCUUCUAAGUUUGAUGUGAAAUCCCGGGGCUCAACCCUGGAAUUGCAUUGAAUACUGGAGGACUAGAGUACCGGAGAGGAAACUGGAAUUUACGGUGUAGCAGUGAAAUGCGUAGAGAUCGUAAGGAAGACCAGUGGCGAAGGCGAGUUUCUGGACGGUAACUGACGCUGAGGCACGAAGGCCAGGGGAGCAAACGGG